GACGAACGCUGGCGGCGUGCUUAACACAUGCAAGUCGAGCGGUAAGGCCCUUUCGGGGGUACACGAGCGGCGAACGGGUGAGUAACACGUGGGUGACCUGCCCUCAGCUCUGGGAUAAGCCUGGGAAACUGGGUCUAAUACUGGAUAUGACUCCACGGUGCAUGUCGUGGGGUGGAAAGCCUUGUGCGGCUGAGGAUGGGCCCGCGGCCUAUCAGCUUGUUGGUGGGGUGANGGCCUACCAAGGCGACGACGGGUAGCCGGCCUGAGAGGGCGACCGGCCACACUGGGACUGAGAUACGGCCCAGACUCCUACGGGAGGCAGCAGUGGGGAAUCUUGCGCAAUGGGCGAAAGCCUGACGCAGCGACGCCGCGUGAGGGAUGA
RNAcentral lists this ribosomal RNA (382 nucleotides) under uncultured bacterium. RNAcentral's name for it is "bacterial SSU rRNA". It matches the Rfam family "Bacterial small subunit ribosomal RNA", at positions 28 to 411 of the family's 1533-position model. The record is from RNAcentral.